CUGUCUAUCAAUCCAACACCUAGUUUGAAAGGUAUACUUUUGUACAUUUUAACACUUCUAAAAUCAAAAAACAGUGAUUUAUUUAUUUAAAAUUUAAAAAUUAUUUUAUGUGAAUGGGUGCUUUGGCAGCCUGCAUGUUAGUGUACCACAUUCUCCUGAAGAGACCAGGAAGAGGGCAUCAGAUCCCUUGGAACUGGAGUUACAGAUGGUUGAGAGCUGCUAUGUGGGUCCUCUUGAAGAGCAGCCAGUACUCUUGACCACUGAGCCACCUCAGCAGACCAUAAUGGAUUCUGACUAGCUCCUACCUCUAGACCAG
RNAcentral lists this long non-coding RNA (316 nucleotides) under Cricetulus griseus (Chinese hamster). Its description in RNAcentral is "lncRNA (ENSCGRG00015035085.1)". The record is from RNAcentral. Lineage: Eukaryota; Metazoa; Chordata; Mammalia; Rodentia; Cricetidae.